This 501-nucleotide ribosomal RNA is filed under the name uncultured bacterium. Its description in RNAcentral is "partial 16S ribosomal RNA". It matches the Rfam family "Bacterial small subunit ribosomal RNA", at positions 30 to 523 of the family's 1533-position model. The record is from RNAcentral.
AUUGAACGCUGGCGGCAGGCUUAACACAUGCAAGUCGAGCGGGGGGAGGUAGCUUGCUACUGGACCUAGCGGCGGACGGGUGAGUAAUGCUUAGGAAUCUGCCUAUUAGUGGGGGACAACAUCUCGAAAGGGAUGCUAAUACCGCAUACGUCCUACGGGAGAAAGCAGGGGAUCUUCGGACCUUGCGCUAAUAGAUGAGCCUAAGUCGGAUUAGCUAGUUGGUGGGGUAAAGGCCUACCAAGGCGACGAUCUGUAGCGGGUCUGAGAGGAUGAUCCGCCACACGGGGACUGAGGCACGGCCCAGACUCCUACGGGAGGCAGCAGUGGGGAAUAUUGGACAAUGGGGGGAACCCUGAUCCAGCCAUGCCGCGUGUGUGAAGAAGGCCUUAUGGUUGUAAAGCACUUUAAGCGAGGAGGAGGCUACUUUAGUUAAUACCUAGAGAUAGUGGACGUUACUCGCAGAAUAGGCACCGGCUAACUCUGUGCCAGCAGCCGCCGUAA